UAAUUUUUUAAAAGAAUUAAAAAUGUUAUAAAAAAGGAGAAAAAAGAUAAAAAAAUCAUUGUUUUUUUUUUUGCUGAAUUAAGUAAAUAAAAUCAAUUAUUCUAAAGAAAUAAAAAAACACAAAAUGUAUAAGAUAAAAAUUUUUGCAAGCAAGUUUCUAUAGUUAAAAUUAAUAAGAAUUCACAAUAAAAAAAUUACAUGGCAUUUAUCUAAAAAUAAAUGUAAAAAGUGAAAAAAGUGAUAAAUAAAUGAUUUUGAAAAAACCUAAAAUUACAUUCAUGAAUUUGUAAAAUAAAAAAAAAGAAAUCAAAUAGAACUAAUAAACAUGAUCUUAAAAUUUGAAAUUGCCAAACUAUAUAUGAAAGAAAUAUCAUUAACAUUUAAAAAUUUUUAUUCAAAUACGCGCAACCAACAAUCAACAGUUAUUAAAAAAAUUUGUUUACAUGUUGAAAUAAAAUUUUUUAACCACCAAAAACAGUUAAUAUCAAAUUAUCUUGAUAACCUCAAACACAUAUAAAAACUUACGAUAUCAUUUUCAACUUGUAUGUUUGUUUGAUUGAUUGAUUGUAUAUUAAAUAUGAGUAAACUUAAAAAAAUAUACAUUUUCAUUGUUCAAUGGGAAAAUAAAAAUUAUUUUCUUUGAAAAAUGUGGAAAAAAUUGAAACAAAAGAGAAAAUAUUAUGUAAAUGAAAGAAGUGAUGAGUAAGGAAAUACCGAAGUUGAGUGAGCGUAUGAAAGACAAAAGGAAAUAAUAUUGUUUAUUAUCGAUUUUUCACAAUACGAAUUUUACCUUUUAAUGUUUUUUUAUAUAUUUUAUUGUUUUAUAAAUUUUUUCAAUUAAAAAAUAAAAGAAAGGAUAUCAUUUAAUUUUUUUUUACAUAUGUAUAUGUUUUAUUAGGAAAGUUAAAAAUAUUCACCCUAAAAAUUUGUGAAUACCUACGGAAAAUUCGAAAAUAAAAGAAAUUGUGCCAAGCGAUUGUGUUUACAAAGUUCGGGAGAGAUGUGCGGUAUUUACGAUGAACAUUAAAAUUGAAAAAUCACUUUUAAAAAUCAGUAAACUUAGAUUUCAUAUUAAAAAAGACAUAAAUAAUUAAAAAAGAAAAUCUAAUGUUAGUAUCUAAUAAGAAUGAUUCGAAGGAAAAUGAAAAGUGAAAAAAAUUUUAAAUGAAAAAAGCGCCUAGCCAAACUUUACAAGGACAAAAAAUAAAUGUACAUACAUGCAUACAUACAAUUGAAUAUAUUUCAUAUAUAAUUACCUAUAUGUAAUUAAGGUAAUAUUGAAAUAAAAAACACAAAUUGUAGUUAAAAAACAUUGUGUUUUUUUCUUUAUUUUAUUUUAUUGUUGAAUAAAAGGAACGAAAAUUUAUUUCUUUUUCAAUUCUUUCACAUAUUUAAAAAUAAAGAUAAAAAAUAUAACGCGAAUUUUUCUUUCGAUUUUUGAUGGAGUAACAAAAGUGUUUUGAAAAAUUAAAAAAAAUGGCUAGACGUAAAGGUGCUUCCAAAACAAGAUGACUGAAAAAGAAAAUUGGAUGAAGCGUUAACAUAAUGGUUGAAUUGGACGGUUAAGCAUUAAGAGAGCUAAAAAUAGCAAAAAAAUUACAUUAUUAAGACUUUCUGGGGCUAUAACUAUUGGAGGAGAGGAAAUAGCUUUUUCUAUCUUUAAAGGUGUAGAAAUUUUGUAAACAGGCACUCGGACAAUAGAACGGAGAAACAGAAUGAAACUAAUACGUUCUUUUUUAAAUAUUUUUGAAAAACUGUUAAAAGACUGAAGUAUCCAAUGUCGCAUCUGUACAAAAAUGAGAUAAAAAGGAAUCAACAAAGCUUGUUUUCUUUUUCCCGACCGCAUUAAAGUUACAUAACCUAUGUAAUGAUACCCAACGUCGGUCUAUCGGUCUGUGUAUGUAUGCGGCUAUCUCAAGCUUGGCUGAACCGAUUUUGACGAAAUUUUAUAUGUUGGUUUAUUUUGGUUAUGUCACGGAUUGAUCAACUUGGAAUAUGUCAGGCCCCAGGAGAUGAUUUUUUUAUAGACUAGCUUUACAUUUUUCAUUAUUUUUGAGAAAGUAUUCAACUUUAAAAUUUUACAUAUAAGUUUUGUUUGACAUAACAAGAAACAACUUAACUUUUAGAAGAUAUCAGGUGUCAGCAAUUGAAUUACGUUGAACUGAACAACCUUUCUUGAAAUUUAAAACUUAAUUCAGGGUGUUAAAAUAAUGAACAUGUAACUUUUUUUUGGAAUAUCAGAGCUCGGCAACCAUACUAGGGACCGAUUUUAAUUUUUUUAUGUCUAAGGAACCAAUCGAUGGAAUUUGUUCAAAUUUAACAUUCGAGUUUUGUUGUUACCAAAUCUAAGUAGCAAAAUUUUCAGAGAAUUUGGAUGGCACAAAAGAAAACCUUUCUAACAGCCAAAUUUACAAUUUUCCGGCUAUGUUAUUCAACACUUACUAACGUCUUUAAUAUUGGAAGGAAGUAUUUAAAAUGCAUUUUUAUAAUAUUGUACAACACUUUCACUAAACUAAUAGAGAUUGCUGUCGGCUACUUUGUAACUAUAUCAUAGAUUUUUUUGUUUUUCAUUUAAUUUUAUCGAUUGAGUUAGGCUUGCGUUUAACUGGUGUUCGUAUCUAAACACAUACAUAUGUAAAAUGUAUUGAUUUGUCUAGAAGUACUAACAAAAACAACAUGUUAUGACCGAUUUUACCGAUCCGUGCACUAGAUUGCCAAAUAAUCACGAAAAAAUCAAAAUUAAUUAUAAUUUAAAGAGCUAUAAAUAUGGCGACACAAAUCUUCAAAUAACGACAUACAUACAUACGUAUACGCGCAUUUAUAAAUACUGUUACAAAAGGAGAUUGAUAUUUAUAAAACUUAACUUAUUCAUUUUGAUAAGUGUCACAUGUGAAUAUAAAGAAACGAAAAAAGAAAUAAUUUCAAUUUUUACUUUCUAUAUUACACUUUUUCACGAUUAAAAUUUCAAUUCAAAUUAAAUUGAAUUGUUUUCUUUUCAUACCCUUUACCAUAUUUUUUCCAUCAGCUGACCCCAAGUGCAUUGGACUUUGUACAAAGUUAUUGUUUACAGUUUUGAAAAUAUUGUUUGGCUUUUUUUAUUUUUUUUAUUUGCAUUUUUUUUUGUACGCCUAUCUAUAAAGAAAAUCUUUUAAUUAUUCCAAAGUUUUGAUUAUUUCAAAUAAAAAUAGUUUAAUAAU
Condylostylus longicornis is the source of this 3197-nucleotide long non-coding RNA. RefSeq lists it as uncharacterized. The record is from RefSeq and is a predicted model, not a curated record. The transcript is spliced from 3 exons. NCBI's taxonomy places the organism in Eukaryota, Metazoa, Arthropoda, Insecta, Diptera, Dolichopodidae.